Molecule: long non-coding RNA, 636 nt
Organism: Gadus morhua (Atlantic cod)
Lineage: Eukaryota; Metazoa; Chordata; Actinopteri; Gadiformes; Gadidae
Source: Ensembl
AUUCAGGGAAUACUUAAGGAUGCGGAGGACACGCCAUGGCAAAGAAGACUGGUUGGAUAUUAGGUGGAAAGGGGGAGUUAUGAGCCACCCAGUUCAACAGGAUGGAAGUAGCUGCGGUGUCAUUGUUGUCAAGAUGGCAAAAGCAGUGAUGGAGGCAUUUCCUCAGAUCCCAGAUGUUAAAUUUGAGACAUCCAAAAAGGCCAUGAAAAAGGAGAGGAGAGAUCUGGCUCUCGAAAUCCUAAAGGCAUCAGUCUUUGAUGAGCACACUUGUUGCGCAAUGUGUGCAGCCGUGAAGCCUCCGGGAUCUGGACCUCCCAUUACAGACUGGGUCCAGUGUGAUGACUGUGAACGAUGGUUUCAUGCCCUGUGUUUGGCAAUGGACAGCAACAGUUAUGAAAAGGCCAAGAAAGGAGACUGGGAAUGUAUCUUGUGCAAAUAGUGUUUCUUUGAAACUAAAAGUGAUGAACUUGCAAAGGCAUAUGUUAACUAAGCCUGCAGUUAAUAAAUAGAGGAAGCAGUAAAAUUCCAUAAAGAGGUGUGUUUUAUGUGUCCUGUUUAGUAAUACAAAUGGAUACUGGUUUGUGUUCGAUGUGUCCUGUUAAGUAAUACAAAUAGAUACCGGUUUGGAGUCACUGG